RNAcentral lists this ribosomal RNA (253 nucleotides) under uncultured bacterium. Its description in RNAcentral is "partial 16S ribosomal RNA". It matches the Rfam family "Bacterial small subunit ribosomal RNA", at positions 524 to 776 of the family's 1533-position model. The record is from RNAcentral.
UACGAAGGGGGCUAGCGUUGCUCGGAAUCACUGGGCGUAAAGCGCACGUAGGCGGAUUGUUAAGUCAGGGGUGAAAUCCUGGAGCUCAACCCCAGAACUGCCUUUGAUACUGGCGAUCUCGAGUCCGGGAGAGGUGAGUGGAACUGCGAGUGUAGAGGUGAAAUUCGUAGAUAUUCGCAAGAACACCAGUGGCGAAGGCGGCUCACUGGCCCGGUACUGACGCUGAGGCACGAAAGCUAGGGGAGCAAACGGG